This is a non-coding RNA of Chlorocebus sabaeus (green monkey), 2463 nucleotides long. The record is from RefSeq and is a predicted model, not a curated record. Lineage: Eukaryota; Metazoa; Chordata; Mammalia; Primates; Cercopithecidae.
CUUUAUACACAUCUGUUUAUUUGAUACUUUUAACAAAGUCAUGGCAUAUACUAUUAUUAUUAUCAACAUUAUAAGUAUUAUAUAAAGGAACCUAAGACCCAAAGUUCUAAACAGAUCCCCUGUUUAUCUUUUGGCAAAGAAAUAAGAGAGUAACAUUUUUCUUACACUAAAUGACAAGAGUUCCAAGUUUCCUGACCUUUUCUGUAAUGACAAGUAGCUGUCAAUACACGACCACCUAACAGAGAUCUUCAGAAAAGAUAAAGACAUUUCUUGUCUCCUUUCAAGGGAUCCUUCUCCAUAGGUCUUGAAGGUGCCACCUAGAGUGAUGAUCUCUGCAGAUACUUGCCAAAAACAAGGCAUAUCUACUUUAGGAACUCUGAGAUUGAUAUUACUAAUGAAAAUGCAUUUCUGUGCUUGUUUCUUGUUGCAUAAGUCUAAGACUAUUCCAAGUUAUCCACCAAUUUGAUUACCUUGGAGCUGUAAAUUACUACAGCGAAAUCAAUAAAGAAUUUAUUUUCAGCCAUAGGAGUCCAUAAAGGUCUGCAUAUGGAAAAUUCAAGAUAAUUGCAGUGCUUUUAUGGAGCAUUCUGAUUUCUCCUCUCUCCCUUCCUUCUCCCUAAUCUCAUACCUUUGGAACAUGAGCACAGCUACAAAUACCAAGAUGACAGAAGUGAGAGUUCUGUUCCUGUCUCUCUCUCUGGCUGUUUCUGUGUAUUCACAAAUAAACCACCAGACUGUGACUGAGAACUGUCCAGUUGCUCAUUCAUGGAACAGAUCUACUAAGAGAACCUGGAAAAUGCAUGAGAUUUUGGAAGGAAAAUGACAGAAUUAGAAAUAAGAGAGAACUCUAAAGGAUUAUUUUGGGAUUGAAUCUUCUCUUGACUACCUACAACCAGUUGUUGUUUCAAAUUAUUUUAAAAGCUGACCAAAUGACGUGAUAUCUCCAGAAAGGCAUUUAUUAAUUCCACACCGCCCAGUUAUUGUGUCUCACAGAACAGUGUCCAGAGCUGGAAAGAAAAAUGUGGUAAGGGGUCUUCUAGUAUAUCUCAUUUCUUUUCUUUGUUUUUGUUUGUUUGUUUGUUUCAGGGAGAAUAAUCUUUUCAGUACCUCCUAGCUUAUUUUUCUCGAAUCUUUUUGGCCACAACUAGGCUGAUGCCUCCUCUGGACCAACCAGUGGGAAAAGUAUAUGGGGUUUCCUUACUCUCUUAGACCAAUCAUGAGCCAUUCUCUAGAUCUGGGUGUAAUGUCACCUAAACACACCUGGGGAUCUGUUGGCCAGGAAGAAACAGAAGGGUAGUGAAAACAGAGAAGAGAAGUUGAGCAGUCAAGGAACUGUGUCAGCUACAAUUAGCUUUGUAUGUGUUUUGGAGUACACUUUAAUAUGGCCACAUAGAAUUCCAUGCGAAAAGGAAAAGAUAAGGUUGACAGUAAGCAGAAUCUGGAUUGAGGGCGUCCUUGAAUUAGUAUGUUCUUAAUAGGCCAUGAAGAUUUUGUGAAUGGCUUUUAUGUAAUUAAUCUGGCGAACUUUCCUAAGUCUCAUACCUACAACUUGACAAGAAGAGUAACCAAUGUGUGUCUCAAUGUGCCCUGAGAAAACCAAGGUGUUUCCUAUACCAUAUGUUCAGAAGAUACUGUUUACAGCAAUGGAUAGGGAUGGCAAGAAGAGAGUAGCUCUUAUUUAACGGAUGAAUGGAUGGGGGAGGCUAAGUCUAUUAGACACAUUGACUGGAGAGGGGAGGUGUCUGUAGCACUGGAAUGGCAGUGAUUGGUUCCUCUGUAGUUCUUGGCAAUGCGGUACUUUGAAGUUCUGUUUAAUUUCUGCCUAGUUGGGGAAGGAGGAGAUCACCAGGGGAUUGACAGGGGUAAAAGAGCCAGCAGGUGUGGUUGGAGGGAGGCAGGCUUGUCUGCAGCCUAGAAUAUCAGAAGAGCCAGGUUUCUGCAGCACUUUAUGGGGGAAUGGCUGAUAAAAGGUUGUAGUGAGACACAACCUGUGGACAGUACAGAAUAAGCAUAAAACUCUUUAGGAGAAAGGUUGGUGGAUUUAAAAACUAGCCAGGGCUACAAAAACCCUAGUAGAUUUGUAGCCCUAAUUAAGGCAGAACUGGAAUGGAAAGGUUCAAAUGUAUCAGAAAUGGGGGAGGGUAGAGAGGGUCUCAAAAAGUAGAUUAAGGAGGAGACAAUGUUUGCAGCAUGGGAUGGCCAAGGCCCCAGCAUAUUCAGCAUCAUGGAAGGGGAGUCUGUCUCUCUGCAUCAUUAUUAGGGAUGAGACUGGUACUUCUUCAGCAGUGAAUAGAAGAGAAAUUCCUCUCUGAAGCCUUGACUGGGGAGGCAGUCUGUCUCAGGCACUGGAUGGGAGUUUGAUAUGUGUAGCCAUUUUUGGAAUUGCUCAGGCUGUUCAGCACAUGUUAGCCUUGUUUGCUUCACUGUGAGGGGGUGUGUAGUGUCUGGUAUACUUGCAGAAUU